GAAAGACGUGUUGUCAUCUCCCUCACUAAGCCAUAAUUCUCUUGAUUUAUCUUUCCAUAAAAUCUCCUCGAGCGAAUAAAGAUAGAUCAUUUUCUCUUUCAAAUCAACUACUAAUGCAAUAUUGUACUUGAGCAUGAUUUAUAUCCUCCUUUGUAUCCCUUAUUGAUUUUGCAGGUACUAUCAUGAUACCAAUUUGACAUAAAAUGGAAAGGUCUUUGGAUAUUAUCAAUUCCAGCACUAAGAGAUACCAGAAUAGGACAAUGGUCUGAAGAGAUUCUCGACAAAUGUAAGAUUCGGACAGAACUGAGAAGAGACACAAGGCAAGAAUGCAGCUUGAAAUCAACAAAACGGUCACAAGAUAAGGAGAUAAAGUUUUGAUACGGCGUCUUUGUGUCUUGGAGCUCUGGAUAUUUGGUGUCUUGGUAUCUCGGAGUCUUCUUAAAAGGUCUUUGUAACUUGAGUCUUCUAGCAAAAAAAGGAGGAUUUGCAGGGUUAUGUUACCAAUUAAAGCAUAAUCACGACGAGAAAAGAAGGAAAGGAGACAGAGUGACCAGAAAAGUAACAUGGGGUGUUUAAUCAGAUUUUAUUAGAUUCUUAUAUAUCUAAAUAUUAUGCCUAAAAUAUAUUUAUAUUAGUAUUAUGUUUUAACAACUUUUCUUUUUUUUCUUUACAUGCCAAUUAAUUAGCCUACUGUAAAUAUUAUGCCUAAAAUAUAUUUAUAUUAGUAUUAUCUAGAUGACC
This is a long non-coding RNA of Papaver somniferum (opium poppy), 741 nucleotides long. RefSeq lists it as uncharacterized. The transcript has 3 exons. The record is from RefSeq and is a predicted model, not a curated record. NCBI's taxonomy places the organism in Eukaryota, Viridiplantae, Streptophyta, Magnoliopsida, Ranunculales, Papaveraceae.